ACUCUAUUUGGACUGAUUAUAUUACAAUAUCGACCUUAGCCGAAAUUGAACAAAAAGGAUCUGUUUCAAAAGCUGUCGGUGGUACUGUUGGUGGUUUGUUAGUGAUAUGUAUCAUCGUUGCCGUCAUUUUAGUUUGGAGGCGUAGGAAAACAGAUCGGAAAGAUCCUAUCUCGAAGCAAAUUUUACUAAAAAGAUCUUGUACGAAGAAGCCCGAAAAUACUACAUAUGAAAAUAGUUGUAUGUUGACUCCGAACUCAAAUACAUAUAAUAUGACAAGUGCAUUUACCGAGAAUCUAAAACAACCUACGAUGCAUGUACAAGCUGCAAACAAACUUGCACAAAAUAACCAAAAGUCUCUCAAUCGUGCAUUUGAACAUACGUUUAGAAUGGACUAUACAAAAAAUACUGACCCUCACCGUAAAGCGUUUGUUGGUGACAUCCGACGUUCUGGAAAAGCAGAUGUUGAUCAGCGGCAUGGACAAAAUUCGUUUGAACUUGAGCAAGAUACAAUCUAUGAUAAUCUUGUGAAGAAACAAACACAGUUUAGAAGUAGGGAUAUAGCCAUUUAUACUUUACGAUAAUCUGUUGUGAAAGCCAAAGACGAUAGCACCGAAUUGUUUAGCGAAUUUAU
Long non-coding RNA from Dreissena polymorpha, 631 nucleotides. RefSeq lists it as uncharacterized. The record is from RefSeq and is a predicted model, not a curated record. The transcript is spliced from 5 exons. Lineage: Eukaryota; Metazoa; Mollusca; Bivalvia; Myida; Dreissenidae.